GGUUGAGGCUCAGUGGUAGAGCGUUCGCUUAGCAUACGCAAGGUCCUGGGUUCAAUCCUCGGCACCA
This 67-nucleotide transfer RNA is filed under the name Marmota monax (woodchuck). Its description in RNAcentral is "tRNA.Ala". Lineage: Eukaryota; Metazoa; Chordata; Mammalia; Rodentia; Sciuridae. The record is from RNAcentral.